CAGUCGCCGCGGUAAUACGAAGGGUGCAAGCGUUAAUCGGAAUUACUGGGCGUAAAGGGUGCGUAGGCGGUUGUUUAAGUCUGUUGUGAAAUCCCCGGGCUCAACCUGGGAAUGGCAAUGGAAACUGGACGGCUAGAGUGUGUCAGAGGAUGGUGGAAUUCCCGGUGUAGCGGUGAAAUGCGUAGAGAUCGGGAGGAACAUCAGUGGCGAAGGCGGCCAUCUGGGACAACACUGACGCUGAAGCACGAAAGCGUGGGGAGCAAACGGGAUUAGAUACCCCCGUAGUCCCUGUCUCUUAUAU
This 301-nucleotide ribosomal RNA is filed under the name uncultured bacterium. RNAcentral's name for it is "partial 16S ribosomal RNA". It matches the Rfam family "Bacterial small subunit ribosomal RNA", at positions 509 to 809 of the family's 1533-position model. The record is from RNAcentral.